RNAcentral lists this ribosomal RNA (229 nucleotides) under uncultured bacterium. RNAcentral's name for it is "partial 16S ribosomal RNA". It matches the Rfam family "Bacterial small subunit ribosomal RNA", at positions 107 to 334 of the family's 1533-position model. The record is from RNAcentral.
UGAGUAACACGUAUCCAACCUGCCGUCUACUCUUGGCCAGCCUUCUGAAAGGAAGAUUAAUCCAGGAUGGCAUCAUGAGUUCACAUGUCCGCAUGAUUAAAGGUAUUUUCCGGUAGACGAUGGGGAUGCGUUCCAUUAGAUAGUAGGCGGGGUAACGGCCCACCUAGUCAACGAUGGAUAGGGGUUCUGAGAGGAAGGUCCCCCACAUCGGAACUGAGACACGGUCCAA